RNAcentral lists this ribosomal RNA (420 nucleotides) under uncultured bacterium. RNAcentral's name for it is "bacterial SSU rRNA". It matches the Rfam family "Bacterial small subunit ribosomal RNA", at positions 354 to 773 of the family's 1533-position model. The record is from RNAcentral.
GUGGGGAAUCUUGCGCAAUGGCCGAAAGGCUGACGCAGCGACGCCGCGUGUGGGAGGAAGCUCUUCGGGGUGUAAACCACUGUUGCCCGGGACGAACAGCCUCUUUCGAGGGGCCUGACGGUACCGGGUGAGGAAGCACCGGCUAACUCUGUGCCAGCAGCCGCGGUAAUACAGAGGGUGCGAGCGUUGUCCGGAAUCACUGGGCGUAAAGGGCGCGUAGGUGGUGGCUUAGGCGUGCGGUGAAAGCUCGGAGCUCAACUCCGAGUCGGCCGUGCGAACUGGGCUCACUGGAGCAUAGUAGAGGCAGGUGGAAUUCCGGGUGUAGCGGUGGAAUGCGUAGAGAUCCGGAAGAACACCGGUGGCGAAGGCGGCCUGCUGGGCUAUGGCUGACACUGAGGCGCGACAGCGUGGGGAGCAAAC